UUUCUAAAUCUCGGAUGCUAGAAGUUCAGGAUACUAACACAGAAUCUACAAACCAUAAAGAUUUCAAAACAGAUGAUGACGCUGUAAAGACGAGAAAAGAAUCAGAAUUUCCGACAGACAUAAAGAAGCCCAUGCCUAGUUUAACUACAACCAACUUAUAUAGAGCAGAUGAAUAUAAACCAGGAUAUCCUGUGUAUGACGGAGUGGAUCAAAAUAAAGAGAAGUGGUGAAAAUAAAUUAGAUGUGGACAAAAUGUUUCAAAGCAAACUACUAUUACCUCCGGUAAACGAAGAGAAGAUCCUGAUUUUUUUUCAACAUCACAUAUAUCUUUCUUGAUUGAUUGAUUGUGACGCUCUUGAUUUUUU
This is a long non-coding RNA of Saccostrea echinata, 365 nucleotides long. RefSeq lists it as uncharacterized. Lineage: Eukaryota; Metazoa; Mollusca; Bivalvia; Ostreida; Ostreidae. The transcript is spliced from 3 exons. The record is from RefSeq and is a predicted model, not a curated record.